This 1407-nucleotide ribosomal RNA is filed under the name metagenome. RNAcentral's name for it is "bacterial LSU rRNA". It matches the Rfam family "Bacterial large subunit ribosomal RNA", at positions 1496 to 2925 of the family's 2925-position model. The record is from RNAcentral.
AAAUGGAAAGCCGCGUGCAAGCGAGGUACCGGACUGGUAGGAAAAACCGCCAGCCAACGGGAAGACGUGAUGCGGACCGAAAUUUAGUAGGGAAGUGUGUGAGCCAGCUGUCAAGAAAAGCCGCUAUUGUGUAUACAGUACCCGUACCGUAAACCGACACAGGUGGAUGAGGAGAGAAUCCUAAGGCCGGCGGAAGAAGUAUUGUCAAGGAACACGGCAAAAUGACCCUGUAACUUCGGGAGAAAGGGUGCCUCGAAAGAGGCCGCAGAGAAUUGGCCCAAGCAACUGUUUAGCAAAAACACAGGUCUAUGCGAAACCGAAAGGUGAGGUAUAUGGGCUGACGCCUGCCCGGUGCUGGAAGGUUAAGGGGAGAUGUUAGAGCAAUCGAAGCAUCGAACUUAAGCCCCAGUAAACGGCGGCCGUAACUAUAACGGUCCUAAGGUAGCGAAAUUCCUUGUCGGGUAAGUUCCGACCCGCACGAAAGGCGUAAUGAUUUGGGCGCUGUCUCGACAAUACAUCCGGUGAAAUUGAAGUACCAGUGAAGAUGCUGGUUACCCGCGCCAGGACGGAAAGACCCCAUGGAGCUUUACUCCAGCUUGAUACUGGGAUUCGGUAUUGCAUGUACAGGAUAGGUGGGAGGCUAAGAAGCAUGGACGCCAGUCUAUGUGGAGCCGCUGUUGGGAUACCACCCUUGCGGUAUUGGAUUUCUAACCAGCCGCCGUGAAACCGGCGGUGGGACAAUGUCAGGCGGGGAGUUUGACUGGGGCGGUCGCCUCCGAAAGGGUAUCGGAGGCGCCCAAAGGUUCCCUCAGAAUGGUUGGAAACCAUUCGAAGAGUGCAAAGGCAGAAGGGAGCUUGACUGUAACACCGACGGGUGGAGCAGGUACGAAAGUAGGGCUUAGUGAUCCGGUGGUAUUAAGUGGGAAUGCCAUCGCUCAACGGAUAAAAGCUACCCUGGGAUAACAGGCUUAUCACUCCCAAGAGUUCACAUCGACGGAGUGGUUUGGCACCUCGAUGUCGGCUCAUCGCAUCCUGGGGCUGUAGUAGGUCCCAAGGGUUGGGCUGUUCGCCCAUUAAAGCGGUACGCGAGCUGGGUUCAGAACGUCGUGAGACAGUUCGGUCCCUAUCCGGCGUGGGCGCAGGAUAUUUGAGAGGAGCUGUCCUUAGUACGAGAGGACCGGGAUGGACUGACCUCUGGUGCACCGGUUGUUCCGCCAGGAGCAUAGCCGGGUAGCCAAGUCGGGAAGGGAUAAACGCUGAAGGCAUCUAAGCGUGAAGCCCCCCUCAAGAUGAGAUAUCCCAUGCGAAAGCGAUAAGACCCCUUGAAGACGACGAGGUAGAUAGGUCAGAGGUGGAAGUGCAGUAAUGCAUGGAGCUGACUGAUACUAAUAGGUCGAAGGCUUAACC